Molecule: ribosomal RNA, 151 nt
Filed under: uncultured Lactococcus sp.
Lineage: Bacteria; Bacillati; Bacillota; Bacilli; Lactobacillales; Streptococcaceae
Description: partial 16S ribosomal RNA
Rfam family: Bacterial small subunit ribosomal RNA
Source: RNAcentral
UGACCGAGCAACGCCGCGUGAGUGAAGAAGGUUUUCGGAUCGUAAAACUCUGUUGGUAGAGAAGAACGUUGGUGAGAGUGGAAAGCUCAUCAAGUGACGGUAACUACCCAGAAAGGGACGGCUAACUACGUGCCAGCAGCCGCGGUAAAAG